UACGAAGGGGGCUAGCGUUGCUCGGAAUCACUGGGCGUAAAGCGCACGUACGCGGAUUGCUAAGUCAGGGGUGAAAUCCUGGAGCUCAACUCCAGAACUGCCUUUGAUACUGGCAAUCUCGAGUCCGGGAGAGGUGAGUGGAACUGCGAGUGUAGAGGUGAAAUUCGUAGAUAUCAGGAGGAACACCAAUGGCGAAGGCAGCUCGCUGGAACGGUACUGACGCUGAGGCGCGAAAGCGUGGGGAGCGAACAGG
Molecule: ribosomal RNA, 253 nt
Filed under: uncultured bacterium
Lineage: Bacteria
Description: partial 16S ribosomal RNA
Rfam family: Bacterial small subunit ribosomal RNA
Source: RNAcentral